RNAcentral lists this ribosomal RNA (253 nucleotides) under uncultured bacterium. Its description in RNAcentral is "partial 16S ribosomal RNA". It matches the Rfam family "Bacterial small subunit ribosomal RNA", at positions 524 to 776 of the family's 1533-position model. The record is from RNAcentral.
UACAGAGGGUGCAAGCGUCAAUCGGAAUUACUGGGCGUAAAGCGUGCGCAGGCGGCUUUGCAAGACAGAUGUGAAAUCCCCGGGCUCAACCUGGGAACUGCAUUUGUGACUGCAAGGCUAGAGUACGGCAGAGGGGGAUGGAAUUCCGCGUGUAGCAGUGAAAUGCGUAGAUAUGCGGAGGAACACCAAUGGCGAAGGCAAUCCCCUGGGCCUGUACUGACGCUCAUGCACGAAAGCGUGGGGAGCAAACAGG